AUGGCUAAAUUCUGGUGGGGGGGCUCACUGGAUAGAAAACCCCUUCACUGGAUUGCUUGGGAUAAGCUAGCUCCACCAAAAUUUAAGGGAGGGAUGGGAUUCCGCGACCUUAGACAAUUCAACCUGGCACUAUUAGGGAAACAUGGAUGGAGACUAAUGACAGAACCAAACUCCUUGUGCGCCAGAGUUCUGAAAGGCAGAUAUUUCCACAAUUCCGGUUUCAUGCAGGCCACUGUACCGAAGUCUGCUUCGGCCACAUGGUGGGCCAUCAUAGCUGGUUAUGAUGCACUCAAUGUGGGAGUAGUGAAAAGAGUUGGUGAUGGAUCUUCCAUUUUGGUAUUGGAUGACAAAUGGAUUCCAUCUACUGUGUCUAUGACACCAAUGUUCAGACCGGCCAACACCCAGGUUCAGUUGGUUAGCAACUUGAUUGACACCGAAAACAGGACUUGA
RNAcentral lists this ribosomal RNA (450 nucleotides) under Triticum aestivum (bread wheat). RNAcentral's name for it is "partial small subunit ribosomal RNA". The record is from RNAcentral. Lineage: Eukaryota; Viridiplantae; Streptophyta; Magnoliopsida; Poales; Poaceae.